CGAAUUUCUAUAGAUAACGUGAAAUUCGAUAAGCGCACAUUAACGACUUAUGUCGAUACCAAAUUAACUAUUCGCUGUCACGAUUAAAGCAUACACCUAUUAUAAUGGGCAUAGAGUAUACUGCAGUUGUAGACACUGCUGCGGUACGGUCACAGAGUAUAUAUAUAUGUAUUAUGGUUGAACGGUAUUAUCUAAUUUUAUCUAAUUAUGAAAGAGUUUCGUGUGACUGUGUGAGAGAGAUCGUUAGUGGAUACCUCGAACUAUGAUUAUAACUAUAACUAUAAUCAUAGUUCGUGGUGGAUACUGGAUACACCGGCGACAGACAGAGACCGUCACGCGAAACGAGUUGCCUAAUUGCCAAUAAUUGGCGAUACGCCCGGUCAAAUACUAUACCUAAAUCUAUAGUAUUUGGUCAGGUGUCGUACUUAAUUAAUAAUUUUGUGGAGUGAUAUGGAAAAUACGUUUUUAUCGCAGGCAUGAUGUGUUACCGGUAACGACAGAAAACAUAUUUCAUUUGCCUUUGGACGCUCAGCGAGUAACUAAAUGUUUUUAAUUGCUCAUUACAUGUUAUAGUUCUAUCAAGAUUUUCUAGGAAGAAAUUUGAGUUCAAGAGCGUUCAAGAAGUUAUAUGUGCUAGGUAUGUGCAAUAUACAAGCGAUACGUAUCGGACUCAGACUUCGAUACGAGCCGAAUGGAAAUGAGCACGUUCAUAAAUAUUUGGGCCGCAGUGUACAGGUGUAAAAUGCAAAUAUAUACCAGCAAGCACAGUCUGUCCGCCGGUAAUCUAUCUUGCUCGCUAGUCAACCAACAGAAAUGUACAUUGAAGACGGAUGCCUUUAUUUGAUCCUUCGAAACUAUUUAGUCCACUGCAAUGGAAAAAGUCAGUCAAAGAUUUUGAACCAAAAAUGCAUCAAUGUACUCAAAAUCAAGUACGAAUACGGAAAAAAGAAUUUAAUUUAAAUGAAAAUUCUCCAGUGUUGUUUAUUUGUAAAGUCUUCACAUAACACCAAAUCGCAUGGCAAUGAAUGUAUUUGAAACCAAUCAUACGUAUAACAACAACCAACUUCUCCAGAGCACUUCAGCUGUACACUGGAAAGGCCGCAGAGAUGUAUACAUGUUGACAACUAUGUAAAUAUAAAGAUAAAAUGAUAGCCACUAAAAUAUUGAUAGAGCUACUGGGGUGGAAUAUUUAUAACCAGAGAGUGUAAUAAGCUACAAUGGCAAUAUGGGUGGUAUUGAUAAAACUGAUAUGCCUUUAAGCUCUGAUGAAUGUGUGCACCAUACCAUGAAACGGGAAAAUCUUUUUUUUUCAUAUAGUUGAUAUGUCUACUGAAUUCAGCUUAUAAAAUGGUGCCAGGUGUAAUGACAACAAAAUAUAGAAGAAGGAAACUGACUUUACAGGAAAGCACUUACAACAUUUGGACUUUCCAGAAUUUGUGCCAUUUACACCAUAAAAAAAAAAAAGAAGUCGAUUUUGUUUGCAGCCACAUUAAGGAAAUCAGAAAAGAAAAGAUUCCAUAUGCCGCUGUAUUGAAUGUAAUGUUGGUUCAUGUAUUAGCCCUUGUUUUAAAAUUUACCACUUAAAAUAAUUUUAAAACAAUUUUUACUUAAUACACUUAUAAUGAAUUAUAA
This is a long non-coding RNA of Acyrthosiphon pisum (pea aphid), 1632 nucleotides long. RefSeq lists it as uncharacterized. The record is from RefSeq and is a predicted model, not a curated record. NCBI's taxonomy places the organism in Eukaryota, Metazoa, Arthropoda, Insecta, Hemiptera, Aphididae. The transcript is spliced from 6 exons.